This 110-nucleotide non-coding RNA is filed under the name bovine gut metagenome. Its description in RNAcentral is "FMN riboswitch (RFN element)". It matches the Rfam family "FMN riboswitch aptamer (RFN element)". Rfam says of the family: The RFN element is a highly conserved domain that is found frequently in the 5'-untranslated regions of prokaryotic mRNAs that encode for flavin mononucleotide (FMN) biosynthesis and transport proteins. This element is a metabolite-dependent riboswitch that directly binds FMN in the absence of proteins. The record is from RNAcentral.
GCUUCGGGGCAGGGUGAAAUUCCCGACCGGCGGUACAGCCCGCGAGCACACGUCCGUGUGCAGACAUGGUUAGAUUCCAUGGCCGACAGUAAAGUCUGGAUGAGAGAAGU